Alligator sinensis (Chinese alligator) is the source of this 1738-nucleotide long non-coding RNA. RefSeq lists it as uncharacterized. Lineage: Eukaryota; Metazoa; Chordata; Crocodylia; Alligatoridae. The record is from RefSeq and is a predicted model, not a curated record. The transcript has 3 exons.
AUUGACCACCUUGUAUUGUUGGUAAAGAUAAGAGAUAAGCUCUCAGGAUCCAAGUACCCUUCAUCAGGUCUGGGAAAGAAGUAGUUACAGUUCAAGCUAAGUAAGGAGUUGGAACAACCAAUGAAUUGGCAGUUAGCACAAAGGUUAGGGGAAGAGGUAACUAAGGAAAAGGAUGGAUCACCAUGCAGUGCAAUUUGGAUCACUUGACACACUCUUAGAUGAGGCAGCUGUGAUAAUCACAGGAGCCCAGCUGCCAGAGUCUGGGGACACAAUCGCACCAUGUCUCCAAAGGAACAGAAGAACCAAGUAUUACAACUGAGAUGGCAAGACCUAUGUAUCCUCAUUAGAUAAUGGAUGCUGGGAGGAAUGCAACUUGACAAGUGAAAGAGCUCACAUUUUCCUCAGCUGCAAAAAAGGUGAAAGCCUUCCUCGUCCAGCUGGAAGCAAGACAAAGAAGUGGAACAAACCUGCAGUGUUUAAGGAGCUCUUACUCUGCGAGAAACAGACCUUUCCCCAAUCCAGGGAUCCCUCAGUUCCCACCUCCAAAUGAUUUUCCUUCUAUUGCAAGUGCUCCCAGCCUUACCUCCAUAUAACUCUUAAAUUUACUGGGGCUACUAGAUGUGCGUACAUGUGCAUCUGUGGCAGAGUCUCUUUAAUAGUUUAUGUGGGAUUAGUGCAAGGACUUUUUCUUCUAUAGGAAGUACAGAAACACUUUUUGCACAACUGAUCCUGCGGGGAACCCCCUCCCCCCAUCAGCAAGACUGGCCAAGGGAGGACCCCUGCCACCCCUGCCCAGUCACUGGGGGGGCUCGUGUCCUGUCUGACCAAGGCAGCACCAGUCACCCAUGUGUUCAGCCAUGAUAACCCUUCUCUUCGGGUCCUCUGCUAUAAGGGGCUUAUAGUCCUUUGCACCACUUUAGAUUUCAUCCCAUGUAAAUAAUGAGGGACUUGACACAUUUAUGGGAUAUGCUGUGCCAAUUCCAGGAUUACUAACCGCGCUGAGACAAGUAUUUUCUAUUCUGCGUUGCAGCUGGCAUGUUUUAACUUCUCUGAGCAAUCCAAAAAAAGUGUCAUAUUCACAGCCUUGGAGUAGUGCAGGUAUAUAUUUUCCCAAUGUUGAGUUUUAAGCUGAAAUAUCAACUUAAAAACAUAUUUUAAAAGAGAUUUUUGGAAAAAUUAUGAAUUCUUCAUCAUUUCUUCAUCAUUUCCAGCAAACUGGAAAUAUUUAGUGUUUGUAACUAGCUCUACCCUGGAAGUAAAAAUCCAAUCUUUUUUCACAUAAUAGCUGUAAGUCUUUGCAGGACUGGGGUCAUAUUGUUUAAAUAUCAAACUUUGCAAAUAGGGAAAUAGAUAUUAAAACCCUGGAACCAUACCAUAAAACUUCUAAAAUAGAGCAUUUCCAACUAUUUUCUAAAAGCCUGACUCUUAAAUACUUUAGUAAGCUAAUGAUUUACCUCCAUACUUAAUACAGCAACCUAACCUAAUUAUUUUAAGUUAAUGUUUUACAUUUUUUGCAAAAAAAAUAAAUAAAUCUGAGAAUGCCAUAAUAAAUUAAUGAUUUACCUACAGCAUUAUUUUUGCAGGCACACAGACAGAGCAGUUUAAAAGAGCAAUCAUUUAAGAAUUAUAUUAAAGACCAUUCAAAGGAAAGAUAAAAGUGGAUAAAAAGUGUGUAUCAAUAACAUCUUGCUUUUUGUUAAAGUGUGUAUUUAUGGAAAAAAAAAAAAAAAAGAGUUGG